This 255-nucleotide ribosomal RNA is filed under the name uncultured bacterium. Its description in RNAcentral is "partial 16S ribosomal RNA". It matches the Rfam family "Bacterial small subunit ribosomal RNA", at positions 524 to 776 of the family's 1533-position model. The record is from RNAcentral.
UACGGAGGAUCCAAGCGUUAUCCGGAAUUACUGGGCGUAAAGAGUUGCGUAGGUGGCAUCGUAAGCGGGUAGUGAAAGCGUGUGGCUCAACCAUACUCACAUUAUCCGAACUGCGAAGCCUAGGAGGCGAGAGAGGUUACUGGAAUUCCCAGUGUAGGAGUGAAAUCCGUAGAUAUUGGUGAGGAACACCGAUGGCGUAGGCAGGUAACUGGCUCGUCCCUGACACUAAGGCACGAAAGCGUGGGAGCAAACGGG